GGACACCCUGUACAGUCGCAGUCUUGUGAUCCCGUAGGAUACACAUCUCAGUCUAACGCCCCGAGGAACGUACAUAUCAGUCUAACGCCCCGAGGGACGUACAUAUCAGUCUAACGCCCCGAGGGACGUACAUAUCAGUCUAGUGUUCUGCAGAAACACAUAUCAGUCAAAUGCUCCCGAAGGUGCAAAAUAAAUUGGUGAUCCCGUGGGACACCUACAAGGUAAACAUCCCAAUACAAUCUAACAAUUUAUCCCCUCAUUCCAUUCAAUCCAUCUUUCAGUUACUUCAAAACAUAAAGUUCUUUCUCUCGACGUCCUAACAGUCAACUUAUCUCACUUUAGUCAUAUGUCUGUCAAUAAUAUACUAAUACGUCAGUCAAUCAAACUAUACAGUCAAUACACCCCUCAGUUCACCAGCACAAACCACAGUUCAGUAUAAUCCACAUCCAACCGAAACAAAUUCACUAGUUCACAUCCAAAUCUUUAUACAGCACAAUCUAUUAAUAUCAUCAUGUACACAUAAGCAUAAUUUCAGUCAUUCACAUGUAUACUUUCGGCAAUCCACAUCAAUUCACACAUCAAUGUAUAUAUAUAUAUGUUUCCAGUCAAAUACAACAUACACUAAACAUUUAGUCUGCAACCAAACAUGUACAUCUUAAUCAUCAUCCAUACAGUCCAACACAACUCAAAAACUUUAGGUGAGUCCAGUAGAAAGUCCCUUACCUCAAAGUUGGGGAAGCUCCUUAAUCAACUAACGUCCUCGAAACAAUCCUAAGCACAACAACACAAAAUUCAAUUACUUUCACGAUACAUAUCUCACUUACUUUCCUCAACGUAAGUUCCAACUCACCGAUAUAUUGGCGAACUGAACCCUCAACAAUUCACAAAUUGGUUGUGAAUUUAAGUGAUCCAAAGUUACCUUUCACACCUUCAAGAAUAAUUUAUCAAAUUAGUCAAUUAACCCAUCCGUAACGUUUGAACACCUUGAAAACAUAACAACCCAUACUUAAAUUGUUUUGGAAACGACUACAAUUUCAUGACUUCAAUCUUACCAACAAAACUUCGACAGAGACAGAGACGAUUAGGACGGGGCACGGCGACGCAGAUCUGGGUAACGGCGCAGAGACAGAGGCUGCGCGGCGGUGCUGGGCAGAGGUCACGCAGCGGCUGACGCGUUGCAGCGGCAGUUUUUGGAUCGAAGAAGAAAAGAAAGGGUGGCGGUUGGGUUCGGCUUCGGUGAACGGAGACAGAAAUAGACGAAACCGGUGGACGGCUCGAUCUAGCGGUGCAGAACUGGACAGAGGGUCACACGGCGGUGGGCGGAAGGUCACGCAGCGGCCUUGCUUCGCAACAAAGACGGCGGCCGACGGUUGCAGCUGCGGUUUGGCUUGGCCUGACCGUCGACGUCGAACGAAAGAGGAAGAAAAGAAAAGAAGGGGCGGCGGUUGGACUGCGGCUGCGCACGAACGAAAAGAGAAUAGAUGGGGCGGCGGUUGCUGCGAACGGGAAGGAGAACGCACGGGGAGGAAGGAGAAGAGAGAAAAAAAAGAAAAAGAAAAUAAAAGAAAAAAUAUAUAUAUAUAUAUAAAAAUUAAAAAAAAUGUAUAUAUAUAUAUUUUUACCUUUGGACUUUACAAUAUCACUACAUAGACAGGUGAUGUUAUCAAUAUAUACAUUUAUAUAAAUAUAAUAACACGUAUUUUGUGACACAUAUAUAGUUCAGUUUUUUUCCUUCACGUUUUGUAUCAUUUUCUUUAUAUUUUUCUAUAUUCGAUUAGUAUUUUAUUUGAUUUGUUACAUACAUACUAAUGCAUAUAUUCAAUGAUACAGUAAUUGAAGUUGACAUCAUCCCAUUGAAUGUAAAACGUUCAGUUGGUCAACAAAAAAAUAUUAGAAUUCAUUCUAAAAUGAAGUUUUAAAUGUGGUUGUCAUAAACGAAAGAGAUGCAAGCUUUCCUUAUUGAACUAAUUUUUCUUUCUUAUUAUUAAACUUUUAGUAUGUUGAUUUAUACUUUUAUUUGAAAUAUUCAUAUUUCAGUUUUUAAUUUAGUUAUUUUAUUUCUAUAUUUUUUCAUAAAUUUUCAUCUACGGUACCAAUCAAAGUUUUUCAAUUUAUUAUAUUUAAUAUACUAUCCUUCAUACAUAACCACUCUUGUUUCAAUCACGAGUUAUUAUUUAUUAUGUAUAGAACUUUUUUUAAAAAAUAAUGUAAAUUUUGAAACAUAUGUCAAAAGUAGGUGAAUGCAAAACUAUUGACAAAAAUAGGUGAGUUGAGGUGAAGUUUUGUACCCCUACACAAUUUUCAUGCAGUGGACCCUACAUAGUUUAUUUUUUACUUUAUAUAUAUAUUACAUUGGGCCAACAUUUUUUAUUUUCUCAUUAUUUAUAUACGUGGGUCCCACACACUCUUCUUUUUUUCAUUAGGUGUGUAUAUAUAAAUAAUGACGUAUAUACUAGUACAUGAUACAUAUAUCUUAUGUGAUUUGUACAUAUAUAUACUACUUCAUAUUUUCAAUAGUACAUAAAUGAUGUCAUCUUUGAUGUACUCAAUAUAUCAUAGUAUAUUUCAAAUACAAAAUAUAAAAUUCUUACUAACCUUAAAUGAACAAUAUAUAUUAUGAUAUAUCCUUAUACUGCUGUUUCAAACAUAACUUAUUAUUUAUUACAUAUAAAAUAAAUAUUUGAAAUAAAAUAAAUAAACCAGUUUAACAAAUUGAUUGCAUAACACUUCAUUCAAAAAUAUAUAAUGUAUUGUUUCAUAUACACUAUUCAUAAGUCAAUUUAACAUUCAACCAUUUUUUUCGUAAAUUUCCUGAAUCUUCAAUUCUUUCAUCAAAGUCCCUACAUUACAAACAUAUUCAGUUGAUCUCAACAUUACAUAUUAGUGGUGUUCGCGAUUCGGUUUAAAGCUAAAACCGCAUCGAACCGCAAAAUGAUAAAAAAAAUCUUCAUUGAAACCGAACCGAACCGCUCAUCUAUGCCAAACCGAAUGAAAACCGAACACAUAUACAUAAAUAAAAUCAAAUCAAAAAAACCGAACGGCUUAUACAAAGUUAUAAACAUAGAAAUUUCAAAAUUACAGACAUAGAUGUUUCAAACAUUGAAAUUUGAAAGUCCAACAACACAUAGAAUUUUAAAAUCCACCUAAGAUGAAUAAAAGUCCUACAGUCAUACAAACUUCGUCAAGACAACUUGUCAUUUACGUUUUGAUUAUGUCAUUCUUCUCCUUUUUGUUCCUCUCAUUGAUUUUUGCCUCUAUACCCGUUUGAAGUCUAAAAAAGUCUUAUUAUUAACAUAUAUAUUUAGUUUUUAAAAUAAAGCAAUUCAGUUCGGUUUUAGAAUCGGUUCUUAACAUCUUAAACUGAACCGAACCAAAUUUUAUGUGGUUUUUUUGAAAUAGAAAUCGAAUCGAACCGAACCAUAUGCAUUCGAUUUCGGUUCGAUUAGUGAUUCGAUUCAGUUUUCAACUUCAUUUUGAACACCCCUAUUACAUAUACUAGAGAAUAACAAAUAUUUUAAUGACAUAUAUUACAUAUACUCAUCAUAAUUAUUUCUCAUUCAUGUUCUUGUAAACAUAAACAACUUUCAUAUAUAAUUAAUAUUAUUUCAAACAUAAUGUAUUAUUUACUACGUAAGAUAUGAAUAUUUAAAUAAAAUAAAUAAAUAAAUUGAUAUAAGAACAUUUCACUAAUAAAAUAUACAUUAUAUUAUUCAAUAUAUACUAUAAUUAUAUAAAAUAUAUGAAAAGAAUGCAAAAUAAAAAAGGACAAUUUUUUAAUAAAAUCAUAAAAAGCAAACUAAGGACAAUUUUUAUUAUUAAUAUUACUUUAAUAGAAUUUAAUCCAUAUUUUCAUAGAAUAUUUAAUAAAUGAAAAUCUUAAACGUGGUUCACUUUUCUUUUUAUUUUUAAUAUAUUAUUAAUAAUAAAAAGAGUAAAUUGGUCAUUUUUACUCUAUAUUUGUAUAAAAUAUUAGUCAAUUUAUGAUAUUUUUGAAAAUUUUAAAAAAUUUAUUGCAAUUUUGUAACAUGGUAUACAAUUUGAGUACACUUAGAUAAAAAUUCAAAGAAAAAAAAUAAUUUCACAUUAUAUAAGAUCAAGUCUAAACGGUAUAAAUUGAACCGCUUGUUAAAACCGAAUCAAACCACACCAUUUAUGUACAAAACAAAAAACACAGUUUGUUGCUGUCUCAAAUAGUCCAAACGAAUUUAAAUGGUUCGGUCUAUUUCAGCUUCAGUCUUCUGGAAUUCAAGGAAAUUUUGAUCUUCCAAGUCUUCAAUAUUUCAGAAGACGAUGAUCUCGAAGUUGAUAAGAACUUGCACGUCUUGAGAGCUCUAUAGAAGUUUGAAUCUUCAAUUCUUCAAAGCUUCAGUACUUCAGAGCUUCAUUUCUUCCUUCAACAAAAGAUCUCUCGAAUGAAUGACAAAGGUCUCUACUUAUAGAGAAAAUUGUGGACUUUAUGUGGGCUUGGACCCAUUUGCUUGUUGAGUUGUUGAGCUUGGACUUGGGCUUGGGCCAUUUUUUUAGUGGGCUUAGGCCCCUUUGUUUGGCCUGAUUUUUUAUCAGGGGCUUGAAUUGGGUUGGAAAACUUGACUACCCAAAUCCAAUCAAAUUAUAAUCAUCACAACUUGGGUGCGACGACGUGGUGUAAUUUCAUUGGUUGAAAUUUCUUGCUCAAUAAUUACAUUUAUACUACUCCAUAAUACAUAUAUAUUGUGAUUUGUUACAUAUAUACUACGUGUAAUGCCCCAAAGGUAUAUAUAUUAUAUAUAUAUAUAUAUAUAUAUAUAUAUAUAUAUAUAUAUAUAUAUAUUUUGUAAUUAAUUUAAAUAAAAAGAAAAGAAAAAGAAAUAUAUAUAUUUUGUUUUUCUUUUCCUUUUUCUUUUCUUUCCCUAUUUCUCUUCUCCUCCGUCGUGCGUCGUGCGACCCACCUUCCCCUUCUCUCCGUUCGCGCGCAACCGCCGCCGGCCAUCUCCGUUCCUCUUCUCCUUCCGUUCGUGCCCAGUCCAGAUCUGCGUCGCAGCCCAGCAACCGCCGCCCCUAUUUCCUUCUCUCCGCCGUGCGCCGCGACUCCCACGAUCCUUUCCCUUUCGUUUUCUUCCCGCCGCAGCCCAGCUGCAGCCCGCGCGCCGAUCUGCCGUCUCCAUCGUCGAUUCUGUCUCCGUGGAAGCCGAACCCAACCGCCGUCUCUAUCUCCGUCCGCGAGGCAAGUCGCACGCGCUCACGCCUCAGACGAACAGCCUCGCCGACGCAGGUCACGCCGCAUCGCACGAGUUCGGCUACGUUGUCGGGCUACUCUCGUCCGCGCUAACUGAUGUUGAACGUCCGAACCGUUCUGCCUUCGUCGAUACCGCUGUCCCAUUUACGAAUCGCGGACCUGUUCACGUGCAGAAGUGUUUUGCACGAUGUCUUUUGUGUAGAUCCUGCGGCAACUUCUAUUUAACGUCGAUGGUCAAAGUCUUGUUACAAGAUAUUGGUAAGGAUGAGAUUGUUCGGUAAAAAGGUCUUACAUUUGUAAAUACAUUAAGAUGUGAUGUUGUUUAAUUGGUUGAAUUGAUCUUUGUUCUUGAAGGCGACAUCGGUGAUUUGGAGUUAGUGUCCUUGAGUUACGCCUUAAGCUUUGUUGGAGUUCGAUUCUUUACUCUUGGGGUUUGUUUGUUGAAGUUAGUUCGACUAAGGAAUUUUACAUAAAGAUCCAGGUAAGGGAUUUUCUACUGGACUCAAUUGUGAUUGUGAACUGUGAUUGUGAGCUGUAUGUGUGUUGAAUGUAUACUGUGGGUUGACUGAAAAUAUAUAUGAAUGUAUAUGAAUUGAAGUAGACUUGACGUCGAAUGUAUGUCGUGAUUGUCAUGGAAUCUAUAUAUAAAUGUGUGUAUGUGGACAGGACGGAGAUUGUAGAUUGUGUUUGUAUGAGAUUCUCGUUUAGAUUGGGUGUAUGAUUACGCUAAAGUAUGACUGUGUGCUGGUGAACUGAGGGGUGCAUUGACUGUAUAGUGGAUUGACUGAUGUAUUAGCAUAUUAUUGACAGACAUAUGACUGUAGUAAAAUAAGUUGACUGUUAGGAUGUUGAAAGAAAGAACUUUGUGACUUGAAGUAACUGAAAGAUGGGUUGAAUGGAAUGAGGGGAAAAUUGUUAGAUUGUAUUGGAUGUUUACCUUGUAGGUGUCCCACGGGAUCACCAAUUUAUUGUGCACCUUCGGGAGCAUUAGACUGAUAUGUGUUUCUGCAGAACACUAGACUGUAUGUACGUCCCUCGGGGUGUUAGACUGAUAUGUACGUCCUCGGGGCGUUAGACUGAGAUGUGUAUCCUACGGGAUCACAAGACUGCGACUGUACAAGGUGUCCCAAUAGAACUUUAACAAUUUAUUUUCCCCUGACGAGACCAGUAGAGGGUCUCUUACUGAGUAUUUAAAUACUCACCCUCUUAUGUUUAAUUUUCAGGCAAAGGUAAUAAAGGCGGCAAACAGGCGAGGGGCAGGAAGGAACGUGAUGCCAUAGGAAACGUGUUUUUUUCCGCUUAGGUUCUUGUGAGGUUUAAAAUGAAUUGAAAUUUAGUUUACAAACGUUUGUUGUAAAUAGUAUUAUUUUAUGUUUUCUUGAAUGUUUAAAAAUCAGGCCUGACUUGAAAUGUUUUUUUUAAUUGUUUACGUUUUGUUUUAUAUUAAUCAAAGUCUUUAUUUGUUAAAAUUUACGAUCUCGACUUACUUAGAAAAGUUGGGUCGUUACACUACCUCAUUAUCUAAUAUUGCUUAGAGAUAUAUACAAUCAGACAUAUAUAGUGACAUACAAUAAUCGAAAAUAUUUUUCAAUUCAAUCUGUUCUUUAUUUUUUUGUUUAUCUUAUAGUAAUAUUAUGUUGUUAGUCAUAUAAACAUUUAUAUCUUAAGUAUGUUGUAACAACAUGUAGUAAACUAUAUAUUCUAAUAAUUAAUAUUUAAAAUAUAUAUUUAUAUAGUAAAUACUACUAAAACAGUAAAAUACACAUUCUUAGUGUAUAUAUAAUAUGCAGUGAGAAUAUCAUACAUACAUAUUCUCACUUCGUAUAAUUAUAUACCUUCUAUUUGUCAUAUAUUUUUAAAUGAACAAUAUAUACUAUAAUAUACUCGUAAAUUAUAAUAUGUUUAUGAUGUGAUUUAAUAUAUAGAUACACCUUAUUUACAACAUAAAUAUUUAGUGACAUAUAGUUCUACAUAAUUUAUAGUUGAAUUUCAAUAUAUAUCACUACAUAGACAGGUGAUGUUAUCAAUAUAUACAUUUAUAUAAAUAUAAUAACACGUAUUUUGUGACACAUAUAUAGUUCAGUUUUUUUCUUCACGUUUUGUAUCAUUUUCUUUAUAUUUUUCUAUAUUCGAUUAGUAUUUUAUUUGAUUUGUUACAUACAUACUAAUGCAUAUAUUCAAUAAUACAGUAGUUGAAGUUGACAUCAUCCCAUUGAAUGUCAAACGUUCAGUUGGUCAACAAAAAAAUAUUAGAAUUCAUUCUAAAAUGAAGUUUUAAAUGUGGUUGUCAUAAACGAAAGAGAUGCAAGCUUUCCUUAUUGAACUAAUUUUUCUUUCUUAUUAUUAAACUUUUAGUAUGUUGAUUUAUACUUUUAUUUGAAAUAUUCAUAUUUCAGUUUUAAUUUAGUUAUUUUAUUUCUAUAUUUUUUCAUAAAUUUUCAUCUACGGUACCAAUCAAAGUUUUUCAAUUUAUUAUAUUUAAUAUACUAUCCUUCAUACAUAACCACUCUUGUUUCAAUCACGAGUUAUUAUUUAUUAUGUAUAGAACUUUUUUUAAAAAAUAAUGUAAAGUUUGAAACAUAUGUCAAAAGUAGGUGAAUGCAAAACUAUUGACAAAAAUAGAUGAGUUGAGGUGAAGUUUUGUACCCCUACACAAUUUUCAUGCAGUGGACCCUACAUAGUUUAUUUUUUAUUUAUAUAUAUAUAUUACAUUGGGCCAACAUUUUUUAUUUUCUCAUUAUUUAUAUACGUGGGUCCCACACACUCUACUUUUUUUCAUUAGGUGUGUAUAUAUAAAUAAUGACGUAUAUACUAGUACAUGAUACAUAUAUCUUAUGUGAUUUGUUACAUAUAUAUACUACUUCAUAUUUUCAAUAGUACAUAAAUGAUGUCAUCUUUGAUGUACUCAAUAUAUCAUAUAUAUAUUUCAAAUACAAAAUAUAAAAUUCUUACUAACCUUAAAUGAACAAUAUAUAUUAUGAUAUAUCCUUAUACUGCUGUUUCAAACAUAACUUAUUAUUUAUUACAUAUAAAAUAAAUAUUUGAAAUAAAAUAAAUAAACCAGUUUAACAAAUUGAUUGCAUAACAUUUCAUUCAUAAAAUAUAUAAUGUAUUGUUUCAUAUACACUAUUCAUAAGUCAAUUUAACAUUCAACCAUUUUUUUUCAUACAAUUUCCUGAAUCUUCAAUUCUUUCAUCAAAGUCCCUACAUUACAAACAUAUUCAGUUGUCUCAACAUUACAUAUUAGUGGUGUUCGCGGUUCGGUUUGAAGCUAAAACCGCAUCGAACCGCAAAAUGAUAAAAAAAAUCUUCAUUGAAACCGAACCGAACCGCUCAUCUAUGCCAAAGAAAAUCGAACCACAUAUACAUAAAUAAAAUCAAAUCAAAACCGAACGGCUUAUACAAAGUUACAGACAUAGAUGUUUCAAACAUUGAAAUUUGAAAGUCCAACAACACAUAGAAGUUUUAAAAUCCACCUAAGAUGAAUAAAAGUCCUACAGUCAUGCAAACUUCGUCAAGACAACUUGUCAUUUACGUUUUGAUUAUGUCAUUCUUCUCCUUUUCGUUCCUCUCAUUGAUUUUUGCCUCUAUACCCGCUUUGAAGUCUAAAAAAGUCUUAUUAUUAACACAUAUAUAUAUAUAUAUAUAUAUAUAUAUAUAUAUUUAGUUUUUAAAAUAAAGCAAUUCAGUUCGGUUUGAGAAUCGGUUCUUAACAUCUUAAACUGAACCGAACCGAAUUUUAUGUGGUUUUUUUGAAAUAGAAAUCGAAUCGAACCGAACCAUAUGCAUUCGAUUUCGGUUCGAUUAGUGAUUCGAUUCAGUUUUCAACUUCAUUUUGAACACCCCUAUUACAUAUACUAGAGAAUAACAAAUAUUUUAAUGACAUAUAUUACAUAUACUCAUCAUAAUUAUUUCUCAUUCAUGUUCUUGUAAACAUAAACAACUUUCAUAUAUAAUUAAUAUUAUUUCAAACAUAAUGUAUUAUUUACUACGUAAGAUAUGAAUAUUUAAAUAAAAUAAAUAAAUAAAUUGAUAUAAGAACAUUUCACUAAUAAAAUAUACAUUAUAUUAUUCAAUAUAUACUAUAAUUAUAUAAAAUAUAUGAAAAAGAAUGCAAAAUAAAAAAGGACAAUUUUUUAAUAAAAUCAUAAAAGCAAACUAAGGACAAUUUUUAUUAUUAAUAUUACUUUAAUAAAAUUUAAUCCAUAUUUUCAUAGAAUAUUUAAUAAAUGAAAAUCUUAAACGUGGUUCACUUUUCUUUUUAUUUUUAAUAUAUUAUUAAUAAUAAAAAGAGUAAAUUGGUCAUUUUUACUCUAUAUUUGUAUAAAAAUUAGUCAAUUUAUGAUAUUUUUGAAAAUUUUAAAAAAUUUAUUGCAAUUUUGUAACAUGGUAUACAAUUUGAGUACACUUAGAUAAAAAUUCAAAGAAAAAAAAAUAAUUUCACAUUAUAUAAGAUCAUGUCUAAACGGUAUAAAUUGAACCGCUUGUUAAAACCGAAUCAAACCACACCAUUUAUGUACAAAACAAAAACACAGUUUGUUGCUGUCUCAAAUAGUCCAAACCGAAUUUAAAUGGUUCGGUCUAUUUCAGCUUCAGUCUUCUGGAAUUCAAGGAAAUUUUGAUCUUCCAAGUCUUCAAUAUUUCAGAAGACGAUGAUCUCAAAGUUGAUAAUAACUUGCACGUCUUGAGAGCUCUAUAGAAGUUUGAAUCUUCAAUUCUUCAAAGCUUCAGUACUUCAGAGCUUCAUUUCUUCCUUAAACAAAAGAUCUCUCGAAUGAAUGACAAAGGUCUCUACUUAUAGAGAAAAUUUGUUGACUUUAUGUGGGCUUGGACCCAUUUGCUUGUUGAGUUGUUGAGCUUGGACUUGGGCUUGGGCCCAUUUUCUUAGUGGGCUUAGGCCCCUAUGUUUGGCCUGAUUUUUUAUCAGGGGCUUGAAUUGGGUUGGAAAACUUGACUACCCAAAUCAAUCAAAUUAUAAUCAUCACAACUUGGUGCGACGACGUGGUGUAAUUUCAUUGGUUGAAGUUUUUGCUCAACAAUUACAUUUAUACUUCUCCAUAAUACAUAUAUAUUAUGUGAUUUGUUACAUAUAUACUACCUCAUUAUGUAAUAUUUGUAACGACCCAACUUUUCUGGUAAGUCGAGGUCGUUAAUUUUUAACAAAAGACUUUGGUUGAUACAAAAUGAAACGUAAGUCAAUUUAAAAACAAUUUAUGUCAGGCCUGAUUUUCAAAUAUUCAAGAAAACUUAAAAUAACACUAUUUACAAAUAAAAGUUUGUAAAACUAAGUUUUAGUACAUCUUAAACCUCAAAGAAACCAUAAGCGGAAGCAAAAUGACACAUUUCCUAUGGCAAUCACGCUUCCUUCCUGCCCUCGCCGGUUUGCCACCUUUAUUUCCUUUGCCUGAAAAUUAAACAUAAGAAGGGUGAGUAUAACAAUACUCAGUAAGAGACCCUCUACUGGUCUCGUCAGGGGAAAAAAAUUGUUAAAGUUCUAUUGGGACACCCUGUACAGUCGCAGUCUUGUGAUCCCGUAGGAUACACAUUUCAGUCUAACGCCCCGAAGGACGUACAUAUCAGUCUAACGCCCGAGGGACGUGCAUAUCAGUCUAACGCCCGAGGGACGUACAUAUCAGUCUAGUGUUCUGCAGAAACACAUAUCAGUCAAAUGCUCCUGAAGGUGCAAAAUAAAUUGGUGAUCCGUGGGACACCUACAAGGUAAACAUCCCAAUACAAUCUAACAAUUUAUCCCCUCAUUCCAUUCAAUCCAUCUUUCAGUUACUUCAAAACAUAAAGUUCUUUCUCUCAACGUCCUAACAGUCAACUUAUCUCACUUUAGUCAUAUGUCUGUCAAUAAUAUACUAAUAUGUCAGUCAAUCAACUAUACAGUCAAUACACCCCUCAGUUCACCAGCACAAACCACAGUUCAGUAUAAUCCACAUCCAACCGAAAUAAAUUCACUAGUUUACAUCCAAAUCUUUAUACAACACAAUCUAUUAAUAUCAUCAUGUACACAUAAGCAUAAUUUCAGUCAUUCACAUGUAUACUUUCGGCAAUCCACAUCAAUUCACACAUCAAUGUAUAUAUAUAUGUUUCCAGUCAAAUACAACAUACACUAAACAUUUAGUCUGCAACCAAACAUGUACAUCUUAAUCAUCAUCCAUACAGUCCAACACAACUCAAAAACUUUAGGUGAGUCCAGUAGAAAGUCCCUUACCUCAAAGUUGGGGAAGCUUCUUAAUCAACUAACGUCCUCGAAACAAUCCUAAGCACAACAACACAAAACUUCAAUUACUUUCACGAUACAUAUCUCACUUACUUUCCUCAACGUAAGUUCCAACUCACCGAAAUAUUGGCGAACUGAACCCUCAACAAUUCACAAACUGAUUGUGAAUGUAAGGGAGUCUAACGAUACUCCCAACACCUCAACGCACGAAUGUCGAACUCGCAGCAAAAAUCCUAAAUGUGGGUCGGUUAGCGGUCGCGCGACAGUGCUGAAAACAGAGGAGAAAGGAAAGGAAUGGAUGGCGGCUGGCUUGGCUUCGACGGAGACAGGUGUUGCGCGGCGGAACUGGGCAGAGGUCACGCGGCGGCCGACGGUUACAACGGCAGUUGUGGAUCCGAGAAGAGAAGAAAACGACCGGAAAGAAAAAUAGGGGCGGCGGCGGCGGUUGCUGGGCUGCGACGCAGAUCUGGACCGGGCAGCGGCGGAAGAGCAACGGCGCGGUCCUGCUUUGCGAACGGAAAUGGAGACGGCAGAUCGGGCGUUCGGCUUCAGUAGGGAGACGCGACGGUGAGGCUGGGUCUGGAAGGAGCGGAGAGGAGAAGAAAAGAUGGAGAUGACCGGCGGCGGUUGCUGCGCUGCGAACGGGAGAAGGGGAAGGGCGCACGGGAGGAGAAGAGAAGAGAAAAGAAAAAAAGAAAAAGAAAAGAAAAAAAAGAAAAAAAAUAAUAUAUAUACCUUUCCUUCUUUUCUCUUUUUUCUUCGCUCUCUUCUUGGGGCAUUACAAUAUUGCUUAGAGAUAUAUACAAUCAGACAUAUAUAGUGACAUACAAUAAUCGAAAAUAUUUUUCAAUUCAAUCUGUUCUUUAUUUUUUUGUUUAUCUUAUAGUAAUAUUAUGUUGUUAGUCAUAUAAACAUUUAUAUCUUAAGUAUGUUGUAACAACAUUAGUAAACUAUAUAUUAUUAAUAAUUAAUAUUUAAAAUAUAUAUUUAUAUGUAAAUACUACUAAAACAGUAAAAACACAUUCUUAGUGUAUAUAUAAUAUGUAGUGAGAAUAUCAUACAUACAUAUUCUCACUUCGUAUAAUUAUAUACCUUCUAUUUGUCAUAUAUUUUUUAAAUGAACAAUAUAUACUAUAAUAUACUCGUAAAUUAUAAUAUGUUAUGAUGUGAUUUAAUAUAUAAAUACACCUUAUUUACAACAUAAAUAUUUAGUGACAUAUAGUUCUACAUAAUUUUAUAGUUGAAUUUCAAUAUAUAUCACUACAUAGACAGGUUGAUGUUAUCAAUAUACAUUUAUAUAAAUAUAAUAACACGUAUUUGUGACACAUAUAUAGUUCAGUUUUUUUCCUCACGUUUUGUAUCAUUUUCUUUAUAUUUUUCUAUAUUCGAUUAGUAUUUUAUUUGAUUUGUUACAUACAUACUAAUGCAUAUAUUCAAUAAUACAGUAGUUGAAGUUGACAUCAUCCCAUUGAAUGUCAAACGUUCAGUUGGUCAACAAAAAAUAUUAGAAUUCAUUCUAAAAUGAAGUUUUAAAUGUGGUUGUCAUAAACGAAAGAGAUGCAAGCUUCCUUAUUGAACUAAUUUUUCUUUCUUAUAUUAAACUUUUAGUAUGUUGAUUUAUACUUUAUUUGAAAUAUUCAUAUUUCAGUUUUUAAUUUAGUUAUUUUAUUUCUAUAUUUUUCAUAAAUUUUCAUCUACGGUACCAUACAAUUUUUUUCAAUUUAUUAUAUUUAAUAUACUAUUCAUUCAUACAUAACCACUCUUGUUUCAAUCACGAGUUAUUAUUUAUUAUGUAUAGAAUUUUUUAAAAAAUAAUGUAAAUUUUGAAACAUAUGUCAAAAGUAGGUGAAUGCAAAACUAUUGACAAAAAUAGGUGAGUUGAGGUGAAGUUUUGUACCCCUACACAAUUUUCAUGCAGUGGACCCUACAUAGUUUAUUUUUUACUUUAUAUAUAUAUUACAUUGGGCCAACAUUUUUUAUUUUCUCAUUAUUUAUAUACGUGGGUCCCACACACUCUACUUUUUUCAUUAGGUGUGUAUAUAUAAUAAUGACGUAUAUACUAGUACAUGAUACAUAUAUCUUAUGUGAUUUGUUACAUAUAUAUACUACUUCAUAUUUUCAAUAGUACAUAAAUGAUGUCAUCUUUGAUGUACUCAAUAUAUCAUAGUAUAUUUCAAAUACAAAAUAUAAAAUUCUUACUAACCUUAAAUGAACAAUAUAUAUUAUGAUAUAUCCUUAUACUGCUGUUUCAAACAUAACUUAUUAUUAUUAUUACAUAUAAAAUAAAUAUUUGAAAUAAAAUAAAUAAACCAGUUUAACAAAUUGAUUGCAUAACAUUUCAUUCAUAAAAAUAUAUAAUGUAUUGUUUCAUAUACACUAUUCAUAAGUCAAUUUAACAUUCAACCAUUUUUUUUCAUACAAUUUCCUGAAUCUUCAAUUCUUUCAUCAAAGUCCUACAUUACAAACAUAUUCAGUUGAUCUCAACAUUACAUAUUAGUGGUGUUCGCGUUCGGUUUGAAGCUAAAACCGCAUCGAACGCAAAAUGAUAAAAAAAAUCUUCAUUGAAACCGAACCGAACCGCUCAUCUAUGCCAAACCGAAUGAAACCGAACCACAUAUACAUAAAUAAAAUCAAAUCAAAACCGAACGGCUUAUACAAAGUUAUAAACAUAGAAAUUUCAAAUUACAGACAUAGAUGUUUCAAACAUUGAAAUUUGAAAGUCCAACAACACAUAGAAGUUUUAAAAUCCCCCUAAGAUGAAUAAAAGUCCUACAGUCAUGCAAACUUCGUCAAGACAACUUGUCAUUUACGUUUUGAUUAUGUCAUUCUUCUCCUUUUCGUUCCUCUCAUUGAUUUUUGCCUCUAUACCCGCUUUGAAGUCUAAAAAAGUCUUAUUAUUAACACACACAUAUAUAUAUAUAUAUAUAUAUAUAUAUUUAGUUUUUAAAAUAAAGCAAUUCAGUUCGGUUUGAGAAUCGGUUCUUAACAUCUUAAACUGAACCGAACCGAAUUUUAUGUGGUUUUUUUGAAAUAGAAAUCGAAUCGAACCGAACCAUAUGCAUUCGAUUUCGGUUCGAUUAGUGAUUCGAUUCAGUUUUCAACUUCAUUUUGAACACCCCUAUUACAUUACUAGAGAAUAACAAAUUUUUAAUGACAUAUAUUACAUAUACUCAUCAUAAUUAUUUCUCAUUCAUGUUCUUGUAAACAUAAACAACUUUCAUGUAUAAUUAAUAUUAUUUCAAACAUAAUGUAUUAUUUACUAUGUAAGAUAUGAAUAUUUAAAUAAAAUAAAUAAAUAAAUUGAUAUAAGAACAUUUCACUAAUAAAAUAUACAUUAUAUUAUUCAAUAUAUACUAUAAUUAUAUAAAAUAUAUGAAAAAGAAUGCAGAAUAAAAAAGGACAAUUUUUUAAUAAAAUCAUAAAAAGCAAACUAAGGACAAUUUUUAUUAUUAAUAUGUAACGACCCAACUUUUCUAAGUAAGUCGAGGUCGUUAUUAUUUUUACAAAUAAAAGACUUUGAUUAAUAUAAAAAAAACGUAAGCAAUUUAAAAAAAAACAUCUUCAAGUCAGGCCUGAUUUUUAAACAUUCAAGAAAACAUAAAAUAAUACUAUUUACAACAAACGUUUGUAAACUAAAUUUCAAUUCAUUUUAAACCUCACAAGAACCCAUAAGUGGAAGCAAAAACACGUUUCCUAUGCAUCACGCUUCCUUCCUGCCCUCGCCUGUUUGUCGCCUUUAUUACCUUUGCCUGAAAAUUAAACAUAUAUAAGAAGGGUGGGUAUUUAAAUACUCAGUAAGAGACCCUCUACUGGUUUCGUCAGGGGAAAAUAAAUUGUUAAAGUUCUAUUGGGACACCCUGUACAGUCGCAGUCUUGUGAUCCGUAGGAUACACAUCUCAGUCUAAUGCCCCGAGGGACGUACAUAUCAGUCUAACGCCCCAAGGACAUACAUAUCUAGUCUAGUGUUCUGCAGAAACACAUAUCAGUCAAAUGCUCCGAAGGUGCACAAUAAAUUGGUGAUCCCGUGGGACACCUACAAGGUAAACAUCCCAAUACAAUCUAACAAUUUAUCCCCUCAUUCCAUUCAACCCAUCUUUCAGUUACUUCAAGUCACAAAGUUCUUUCUUUCAACAUCCUAACAGUCAACUUAUUUUACUACAGUCAUAUGUCUGUCAAUAAUAUGCUAAUACCGGCGAGGCUGUUCGUGACUAAGGCGUGCGAUUUACCUCGCGAACGGAGAUAAAGACGGCGGCUGGGUUGGCUUCGACGGAGACAGGUGUUGCGCGACAAAACUGGGCAGAGGCGGAAGAGCAAUGGCAGUUACAGGUGGAUGGGCGCGGCGGUUCGAUCCGAAGGAGAAAGAAAACGACCGGAAAGAAAAUAAGGGCGGCGGUUUCUGGGCUACGACGCAGAUCUGGAUCAGACAGUUACGCCGCGGCUGCUGCAAGGCUGCUUCGCGAACGGAGAUGGAGAACGGAGAAGAUGGAUGGGGUCGGGUCGCAAGAAGAUGGGAGAAAAGAAAAGAAAAAGAAAAAGAAGAAAAGAAGAAAAAAAAAUAAAGAAAUUUUUUAAUAUUAAAAUAAAAAUAAUAUAUAUAUAUAUAUAUAAAAAUAUAUAUAUAUAUUUACCUUUUGGGCAUUACAUUCUUCCCUCCUUAAGAAACUUUCGUCCUCGAAAGUUUAAUCCUGAAAUAACUCUGGAUAACGAGUCCUCAUUCUUCCUCUCGCUCCCAUGUCGCCUCUUCAAUUCGAUGAUUCCGCCACAAAACCUUUACUAAUGGAAUGCUUCUAUUACGAAGCAUCUUUACCUCUCUAGCCAGAAUCUCCACAGGUUGUUCUACAUAGCUCAAAUGCUCAUCAAUCUCCAAGGGUUCAUAGUCCACUACAUGAGAUGUAUCGGCCACAUACUUCCUCAACAUCGAACAUGGAAAACAUUAUGAACUGCAGAGAGUGAUGGUGGUAAUGCCAAGCGAUACGCCACAACACCAACCCUCUCUAAGAUCUCAAAUGGUCCAACAAAACGAGGACUUAACUUCCCUUUCUUCUCAAAACGCAUAACACCCUUCAUAGGUGCUACCUUCAAGAAUACCUUUUCUCCCACAUCGAACUUAAGGUCUUUUCGCCGUACAUCUGCAUAACUCUUUGUCUACUCUGCGCUGUUUGCAUACGCGUCUAAUCUUUGAAUAGCCUCAUUAGUAGACCGAACUAAUUCAGGUCCCAUCAACCUAUGUUCACCAACCUCACUCCAACAAACAGGGGUUCUACAACAUUUGCAUACAAAGCCUCAAAUGGUGCCAUACCGAUGGUAGCCUGGAAACUGUUGUUAUAAGCAAACUCCAUCAAAUGUAGAUGAGAGUCCCAACUACCUGGAAACUCUAUAACACAAGCUCGUAGCAUAUCCUCUAAAACUUGGUUCAAACGUUCAGUUUGACCAUCAGUCUGUGGAUGAAAGGCUGUACUGAAAUCCAAUCUCGUACCCAUAGCAGUCUGAAGUCCCUUCCAAAACUUGGAAGUAAACCGUGCAUCCCUAUCAGAAACAAUCGAUACAGGCACUCCAUGCAGUCUCACAAUCUCAGUUAAAUACAACUCUGCCCACUUACUAGCAGUAUAAGUGGAUUUUCCUGGUACAAAAUGUGCCGAUUUCGUAAGCCUGUCUAUGACAACCAAAAUCACUGUGAAACCCUUCAGGGUCUUAGGCAGCCCUGAAAUAAAAUCCAUCGACACAUUCUCCCACUUCCACUCUGGCACACUUAAGGUUGUAACAAACCUGCUGGUUUCUGUCUAGGUGCCUUAACUUGCUGACAUACUAGACACUUACUAACAAAUUCCGCCACUUCCCUUUUCAUAUUCCGCCACCAAUAAAAUCGUUUUAGAUCCUGAUACAUUUUCGUGCUACCAGGAUGCAUGGAAAAUGGGAAUUAUGGGCUUCAUCUAGUAAGUCAAUCUUAACUGUACUGUUCGCUGGCACACAUAAACGUCUCUCAAACAUCAACCCACCAUCAGAGGAUAUGGAGAACUCAUCAGUCUGCCCUGUUUCAACAAGGCGACGUCUCUCCAUCAAAUAAGGAUCAUUACUCUGAGCAUCAACAAUCUUCUGCCUCAGAGUCGGUUGCACCGUUAAUUGAGCUAGCUGUGAGGUGACUCUCCCCACAGACACUGCAAUCUCAGCUCUCUCCAAGUCUCGAUGCAAUGGUACCUGUCUAGUAAUGAGUGCUGCCGAAUGUGAUACUUUUCUACUAAGAGCAUCAGCCACCACAUUCGCCUUACCAGGAUGGUACAAUAUCUCACAGUCAUAAUCUUUUACCAACUCGAGCCACCUUCGCUGUCUCAUAUUCAACUCCUUCUGAGUGAAGAAGUACUUUAGGCUCUUAUGGUCAGUAAAGAUUUGUAUCUUUUCACCGUACAAGUAAUGUCUCCAUAUCUUCAAUGCAAAAACCACUGCUGCCAACUCCAAAUCAUGUGUGGGGUAGUUCUGCUCGUGACUCUUCAACUGACGAGAGGCAUAAGCAACCACCUUACCUUUCUGCAUCAAAACACAACCCAGUCCUUUCUUGGAAGCAUCACUGUAAAUCACAAAACUUCCAGAUCCAUCUGGUACAGUAAGGACCGGUGCAGUAACUAACCUUUGCUUAAGGUUCUGAAAACUAUCCUCACAAGCUGGACUCCAAACAAACGGAGUUCCCUUCCUUGUCAACUGAGUCAAGGAGUAGCCAAACGUGAAAAAUCCUCCACAAACCUCCGGUAGUACCCUGCUAAACCCAGAAAACUACGAACCUCACUAACUGUAGAGGGUCGAGACCAACUGGUAACCGCUUCUAUCUUUGCAGGGUCUACUGAAACUCCCUCACUGGAAACCACAUGACCAAGAAAAGCCACCUGCUUCAACCAAAAUUCGCACUUAGAGAACUUAGCAUACAGUUUAUUGACUCGAAGAGUCUCUAACACCUUAUGUAAGUGUUCCUCAUGUUCGGCUUCAGUCUUGGAAUAAACCAAAAUAUCAUCAAUGAAGACUAUCACAAAAGUGUCCAAGAAAUCCUUAAACACCCUGUUCAUCAAAUCCAUAAAUACAGCAGGUGCAUUAGUCAAACCAAAAGACAUUACUAUGAAUUCAUAAUGUCCAUACCUCGAACGAAAAGCAGUCUUAGGAAUAUCACGGUCUCUAAUCCUCAACUGGUGAUAACCUGACCGUAAGUCAAUCUUAGAGAACACCGUGGCUCCCUGUAACUGAUCGAACAAAUCAUCGAUUCUGGGUAAAGGAUAUCUGUUCUUGACUGUUACUUUAUUCAACUCUCUAUAGUCAAUGCAAAGACGCAUCGACCCAUCCUUCUUCUUCACAAACAAUACUGGUGCACCCCAAGGUGACACACUAGGUCGAAUAAAGCCUUUGUCAAGCAAUUCCUGUAACUGUACCUUCAGUUCUUUCAACUCAGCAGGAGCCAUCCUAUAAGGGGCUCUAGAAAUAGGAGUAGUGUUUGGCUCCAACUCAAUGGCAAAAUCAACCUCUCUAUGUGGCGGUAGUCCUGGAAGAUCUUUUGGAAAUACAUCUGGGUAUUCUCUUACCACAGGUUCUGAAGUUAAAGAAGUCUCACCUUCCCUAGUAUCCACCACACUUGCCAAAAUACUCCAAGUACCCUGGUUGAGUAGUUUACUAGCUUUCAUAGCUGAGAUUACUUUAGGCAGUACUACUGUUCCUACCCCUUGAAUUUAAAGCUAGAUGCAGUAGGGGGACUGAACACAACUUCCUUACGAGAACAAUCAAUACUAGCAUGAUUAGUAGCUAGCCAAUCCAUACCUAAAUUACAUCAAAGUCACGCAUAUCUAAUACCAACAAGGUUACGUCCAGCACACGACCAGCUAUCUCAAUUUCACAUGCUUUAAUCUUUUCCUUAGACAACAUAAUUUCUCCAGACGGUGUAGACACUGACAAAACAUAGUCUAAGGGUUCCACCUCUAAGCAUGCAUGCGUCACAAAAAGCGAUGAAAUAAAUGAAUGAGAAGAUCCCGAGUCAAACAAGGUCAAGGCAAAAUGCCCUAACACUGGUAAUGUACCUGUCACUACUGUGCCGGCCUUCUCUGCCUCUGAUCUAUUAGUGGCAAAGAUUGUACCCCGCUGUGGAGGUCUCUCUCCCUGACUGCUCGAUCCAGCCCCAGUAGAUCUCAAGGGACACCUAUCAGCCAUGUGUCCCUCUUGCUUGCACUUAUAACAGACUCUCGUUCCCAUCAAACAACGACCCAGGUGGCGUUUCCCACACGUAUUACAUACUGGCCUCUCUGAGUAGUGUCUCCUGCACCGCCAGAACUCUGCUGGAAACUGCGAAAAGGAAUCGCCUGGUCUCAAGUUCCUCUGAGGAACUCCUACAGUUCUCUGCUCUACUUUUCUCUUUUGACCCGACGACGAUCCCUUAUAAAGCUCCUUGGCUGUAUUUCAUCCUUCCCAACUCAUAUCCACUGCCAGACGCAGUGCUUCAGCUUGGGUAGUGGGCUUUAGUGCUCGCACAAACCCCUAAUUUCAUCUCUCAAUCCCUUGACGAACCUAUCAGCUCUAGCCUGCUCAUUACUAACAAGCUCAGGGGCAAAACGUGACAGCAUAUCAAACUCCUGGUCGUACUCCUCGACUGUCAUAUAUCCUUGCUUCAACUCCAAGAAUUCCUGGCUUUUGGCGUCUCUAAGGUUAGCCGAGAAAAACUUGGUAUAGAAGCAGUCCUUAAACUGAUCCCAGGUAAUUUGCCUCACAUCUCCACCUAGCAUGCGCAUUGUAGUCCUCCACCAGAUAAUGCCUCUGUCCCUCAGUAGAAAAGCAGCACACUGAACUCUGUGCUCCUCGACAUCUCAUGUAAUUAAAUAUGGUUUCCACAGAGGACAACCACAUUUCAGCUUUAGUAGGAUCCUCCAGUGACCCAUCAAACGUCUGAGGGUCAUACUUCCGAAAGUCCCUCAAAUGUUUCGCCUCAGCAGAAAGUUGGUUGGUAAUUCUUGUGCAGGAGGGGCUGCUGGUGCGGGAACUACAGGUGCAGUGGAACCGCAGGUGCCUGCUGGUUUUGAGCUAUAGCUGUCAUAAGUUCUGUAAACCUCUGCUCCAUGUGAGCAGACAGUGCAUCAAACUCAACGUGAGUCACGGGUGCAGCAGGAAUUCGCUGUUCAGCUUGACCCUCAGUAGGCUGAUUACGACCUGCUCCUCUACCUCGGCCUCCUACUCCUCUACCUCGGCCUCUACGACCUCCUCUACGUACCUUCCCUUGGCGGCAUAAUUCCUAUUAUCCACCAACAACACUCUUUAACAAAAUCUUAAUCAUAACAUAAGCAAGUCUUUAUCGUCAUGCAAUCUAGUUUAAUUUAGGCAAGGUCAUGCAAAUAAACCAUACAUAUAAGCAUCAAGCAUACCUGACGAGAGACGAAGGGUCGCGUUAGCCAUAGGAAACAAAAACAUAGACUUACAUCGUAAGUCAGUCUACAGAACCUAAAACUUAGGCUCUGAUACCAACUGUAACGACCCAACUUUUCUAAGUAAGUCGAGGUCGUUAUUAGUUUUUUACAAAUAAAAGACUUUGAUUAAUAUAAAACAAAACGUAAGCAAUUUAAAAAAAACAUCUUCAAGUCAGGCCUGAUUUUUAAACAUUCAAGAAAACAUAAAAUAAUACUAUUUACAACAAACGUUUGUAAACUAAAUUUCAAUUCAUUUUAAACCUCACAAGAACAUAAGGGAAGCAAAAACACGUUUCCUAUGGCAUCACGCUUCCUUCCUCCCCUCGCCUGUUUGCCGCCUUUAUUACCUUUGCCUGAAAAUUAAACAUAAGAAGGGUGAGUAUUUAAAUACUCAGUAAGAGACCCUCUACUGGUCUCGUCAGGGGAAAAUAAAUUGUUAAAGUUCUAUUGGGACACCCUGUACAGUCGCAGUCUUGUGAUCCCGUAGGAUACACAUCUCAGUCUAACGCCGAGGGACGUACAUAUCAGUCUAGUGUUCUGUAGAAACACAUAUCAGUCAAAUGCUCCCGAAGGUGCACAAUAAAUUGGUGAUCCCGUGGGACACCUACCAGGUAAACAUCCCAAUACAAUCUAACAAUUUUCCCCUCAUUCUAUUCAACCCAUCUUUCAGUUACUUCAAGUCACAAAGUUCUUUCUUUCAACAUCCUAACAGUCAACUUAUUUUACUACAGUCAUAUGUCUGUCAAUAAUAUGCUAAUACAUCAGUCAAUCCACUAUACAGUCAAUGCACCCCUUAGUUCACCAGCACACAGUCAUACUUUAGCGUAAUCAUACACCCAAUCUAAACGAGAAUCUCAUACAAACACAAUCUACAAUCUCCGUCCUGUCCACAUACCCACAUUUAUACAUAGAUUCCAUGACAAUCACGACAUACAUUCAACGUCAAGUCUACUUCAAUUCAUAUAUAUUUUCAGUCAACCCACAGUAUACAUUCAACACACAUACAGUUCACAAUCACAGUUCACAAUCACAAUUGAGUCCAGUAGAAAAUCCUUACCUCGAUUUUAUGUAAAAUUUCUUGGUCGAACUAAUUCCAACAAACAAACCCCAAAGAGUAAAGAAUCGAAUUCCAACAAAGCUUAAGGCGUAACUCAAGGACACUAACUCCAAAUAACCGAUGUCGCCUUCAAGAACAAACAUCAAUUCAACCAAUUAAACAAACAUCACAUCUUAAUGUAUUUACAAAUGUAAAACCUUAUUACCCAACAAUCUCAUCCUUACCAAUAACUUAUAACAAGACUUUGACAAUCGACGUUAAAAUAGAAGUUGCCGCAGCAGGAUCUACACAAAAGAAAUCGUGCAAACAAAUCUGCACGCGAAUCGGUCCACAAUUCGUAAAUGGACAGCGGGUAUCGACGAAGGCAGAAUGGUUCGGACGUUCAACAGCAGUUACGCGCAGACGGGAGUAGCCCGGUAACGUAGCCGAACUCGUGCGAUGCGGCGUGACCUGCGUCGGCGAGGCUGUUUGUGACUGAGGCGUGCGAUUUGCCUCGCGAACGGAGAUAGAGACGGCGGCUGGAUUGGCUUAGACGGAGACAGGUGUUGCGCGGCAAAACUGGGCAGAGGCGGAAGAGCAACGACAGUUACAGGUGGAUGGGCGUGGCGGUUUCGAUCCGAAGGAGAAAGAAAACGACCGGAAAGAAAAUAAGGGCGGCGGUUUCUGGGCUGCGACGCAGAUCUGGAUCAGACAGUUACGCGGCGGCUGCUGCAAGGCUGCUUCGCGAACGGAGAUGGAGAACGGAGUGGAGAAGAUGGAUACGGGUCGCGGUCGCACGGGGAAGAAGAUGGGAGAAAAGAAAAGAAAAAGAAAAGAAGAAAAGAAGAGAAAAAAAAUAAAGAAAUUUUUUAAUAUUAAAAUAAAAGUAAUAUAUAUAUAUAUAUAUAUAUAUUAUAUAUAUAUUAUAUAUAUAUUUACCUUUUCUUUGGGCAUUACAUAAUAUUACUUUAAUAGAAUUUAAUCCAUAUUUUCAUAGAAUAUUUAAUAAAUGAAAAUCUUAAACGUGGUUCACUUUUCUUUUUAUUUUUAAUAUAUUAUUAAUAAUAAAAAGAGUAAAUUGGUCAUUUUUACUCUAUAUUUGUAUAAAAUAUUAGUCAAUUUAUGAUAUUUUUGAAAAUUUUAAAAAAUUUAUUGCAAUUAAUUUGUAACAUGGUAUACAAUUUGAGUACACUUAGAUAAAAAUUCAAAGAAAAAAAAAUAAUUUCACAUUAUAUAAGAUCAAGUCUAAACGGUAUAAAUUGAACCGCUUGUUAAAACCGAAUCAAACCACACCAUUUAUGUACAAACAAAAAACACAGUUUGUUGCUGUCUCAAAUAGUCCAAACCGAAUUUAAAUGGUUCGGUCUAUUUCAGCUUCAGUCUUCUGGAAUUCAAGGAAAUUUUGAUCUUCCAAGUCUUCAAUAUUUCAGAAGACGAUGAUCUCGAAGUUGAUAAAAACUUGCACGUCUUGAGAGCUCUAUAGAAGUUUGAAUCUUCAAUUCUUCAAAGCUUCAGUACUUCAGAGCUUCAUUUCUUCCUUCAACAAAAGAUCUCUCGAAUGAAUGACAAAGGUCUACUUAUAGAGAAAAUUUGUGGACUUUAUGUGGGCUUUGGACCCAUUUUCUUGUUGAGUUGUUGAGCUUGGACUUGGGCUUGGGCCCAUUUUCUUAGUGGGCUUAGGCCCCUUUGUUUGGCCUGAUUUUUUAUCAGGGGCUUGAAUUGGGUUGGAAAACUUGACUACCCAAUCCAAUCAAAUUAUAAUCAUCACAACUUGGGUGCGACGACGUGGUGUAAUUUCAUUGGUUGAAAUUUCUUGCUCAACAAUUACAUUUAUACUACUCCAUAAUACAUAUAUAUUAUGUGAUUUGUUUACAUAUAUACUACCUCAUUAUGUAAUAUUGCUUAGAGAUAUAUACAAUCAGACAUAUAUAGUGACAUACAGUAAUCGAAAAUAUUUUUCAAUUCAAUCUGUUCUUUAUUUUUUUGUUUAUCUUAUAGUAAUAUUAUGUUGUUAGUCAUAUAAACAUUUAUAUCUUAAGUAUGUUGUAACAACAUGUAGUAAACUAUAUAUUCAUUUAUAAUUAAUAUUUUAAAAUAUAUAUUUAUAUAGUAAAUACUACUAAAACAGUAAAAUACACAUUCUUAGUGUAUAUAUAUAUAUGCAGUGAGAAUAUCAUACAUACAUAUUCUCACUUCGUAUAAUUAUAUACCUUCUAUUUGUCAUAUAUUUUUUAAAUGAACAAUAUAUACUAUAAUAUACUCGUAAAUUAUAAUAUGUUUAUGAUGUGAUUUAAUAUAUAGAUACACCUUAUUUACAACAUAAAUAUUUAGUGACAUAUAGUUCUACAUAAUUUAUAGUUGAAUUUCAAUAUAUAUCUGUAACGACCCAACUUUUAUAGGUAAGUCGAGGUCAUUAAUUUUUAACAAAAGACUUUGGUUGAUACAAAAUGAAACGUAAGUCAAUUUAAAAACAAUUUAUGUAAGGCCUGAUUUUCAAAUAUUCAAGAAAACUUAAAAAUAACACUAUUUACAAAUAAAAGUUUGUAAACUAAGUUUUAGUACAUCUUAAACCUCAAAAGAAACCAUAAGCGGAAGCAAAAUGACACAUUUCCUAUGGCAAUCACGCUUCCUUCCUGCCCCUCGCCGGUUUGCCACCUUUAUUUCCUUUGCCUGAAAAUUAAACAUAAGAAGGGUGAGUAUAACAAUACUCAGUAAGAGACCCUCUACUGGUCUCGUCAGGGGAAAAUAAAUUGUUAAAGUUCUAUUGGGACACCCUGUACAGUCGCAGUCUUGUGAUCCCGUAGGAUACACAUCUCAGUCUAACGCCCCGAGGAACGUACAUAUCAGUCUAACGCCCGAGGGACGUACAUAUCAGUCUAGUGUUCUGCAGAAACACAUAUCAGUCAAAUGCUCCCGAAGGUGCAAAAUAAAUUGGUGAUCCGUGGGACACCUACAAGGUAAACAUCCCAAUACAAUCUAACAAUUUAUCCCUCAUUCCAUUCAAUCCAUCUUUCAGUUACUUCAAAACAUAAAGUUCUUUCUCUCAACGUCCUAACAGUCAACUUAACUCACUUUAGUCAUAUGUCUGUCAAUAAUAUACUAAUACGUCAGUCAAUCAAACUAUACAGUCAAUACACCCCUCAGUUCACCAGCACAAACCACAGUUCAGUAUAAUCCACAUCCAACCGAAACAAAUUCACUAGUUCACAUCCAAAUCUUUAUACAACACAAUCUAUUAAUAUCAUCAUGUACACAUAAGCAUAAUUUCAGUCAUUCACAUGUAUACUUUCGGCAAUCCACAUCAAUUCACACAACAAUGUAUAUAUAUAUGUUUCCAGUCAAAUACAACAUACACUAAACAUUUAGUCUGCAACCAAACAUGUACAUCUUAAUCAUCAUCCAUACAGUCCAACACAACUCAAAAACUUUAGGUGAGUCCAGUAGAAAGUCCCUUACCUCAAAGUUGGGGAAGCUCCUUAAUCAACUAACGUCCUCGAAACAAUCCUAAGCACAACAACACAAAAUUCAAUUACUUUCACGAUACAUAUCUCACUUACUUUCCUCAACGUAAGUUCCAACUCACCGAUAUAUUGGCAAACUGAACCCUCAACAAUUCACAAAUUGGUUGUGAAUUUAAGUGAUCCAAAGUUACCUUUCACACCUUCAAGAAUAAUUUAUCAAAUUAGUCAAUUAACCCAUCCGUAACGUUUGAACACCUUGAAAACAUCACAACCCAUACUUAAAUUGUUUUGUAAACGACUACAAUUUCAUAACUUCAAUCUUACCAACAAAACUUCGACAGAGACAGAGACGAUUAGGAUGGGGCACGGCGACGCAGAUCUGGGUAACGGCGCAGAGACAGAGGUCGCGCGGCGGUGCUGGGCAGAGGUCACGCGGCGGCUGACGGUUGCAGCGGCAGUUUUUGGAUCGAAGAGAAAAAAAGGGUGGCGGUUGGGUUCGACUUCGGUGAACGGAGACAGAAACAGACGAAACCGGUGGACGGCUCGAUCUAGCGGUGCAGAUCUGGACAGAGGGUCACACGGCGGUGGGCGGAAGGUCACGCGGCGGCCUUGCUUCGCAACAGAGACGGCGGCCGACGGUUGCAGCGGCGGUUUGGCUUGGCCUGACCGUCGACGUCGAACGAAAGAGGAAGAAAGAAAAGAAGGGGUGGUUGGACUGCGGCUGCGCACGAACGGAAAGAGAAUAGAUGGGGCGGCGGUUGCUGCGAACGGGAAGGAGAACGCACGGGGAGGAAGGAGAAGAGAGAAAAGAAAAGAAAAAGAAAAGAAAAGAAAUAUAUAUAUAUAUAUAUAUAUAAAUUAAAAAAAAUGUAUAUAUAUAUAUAUUUUUUACCUUUGGGACUUUACAUUCUUCCCCCCUUAAGAAACUUUCGUCCUCGAAAGUUCUAAUCCUGAAAUAACUCUGGAUAACGAGUCCUCAUCUCUUCUUCUCGCUCCCAUGUCGCUUCUUCAAUUCGAUGAUUCUGCCACAAAACUUUACUAAUGGAAUGCUUCUAUUACGAAGCAUCUUUACCUCUCUAGCCAGAAUCUCCACAGGUUGUUCUACAUAGCUCAAAUGCUCAUCAAUCUCCAAGGGUUCAUAGUCUACUACAUGAGAUGUAUCCACACAUACUUCCUCAACAUCGAAACAUGGAAAAUAUUAUGAACUGCAGAGAGAGAUGGUGGUAAUGCCAAGCGAUACGCCACAACACCAACCCUCUCUAAGAUCUCAAAUGGUCCAACAAAACGAGGACUUAACUUUCCUUUCUUCUCAAAACGCAUAACACCCUUCAUAGGUGCUACCUUCAAGAAUACCUUUUCUCCCACAUCGAACUUAAGGUCUUUUCGCUGUACAUCCGCAUAACUCUUCUGUCGACUCUGCGCUGUUUGCAUAAGUGCUCUAAUAUUUUGAAUAGCCUCAUUAGUAGACCGAACUAAUUCAGGUCCCAUCAAUCUAUGUUCACCAACCUCACUCCAACAAACAGGGGUUCUACAACAUUUGCCAUACAAAGCCUCAAAUGGUGCCAUACCGAUGGUAGCCUGAAAACUGUUGUUAUAAGCAAACUCCAUCAAAUGUAGAUGAAAGUCCCAACUACCUAGAAACUCUAUAACACAAGCUCGUAGCAUAUCCUCUAAAACUUGGUUCAAACGUUCAGUUUGACCAUCAGUCUGUGGAUGAAAAGCUGUACUGAAAUCCAACCUCGUACCCAUAGCAGUCUGAAGUCCCUUCCAAAACUUGGAAGUAAACCGUGCAUCCCUAUCAGAAACAAUCGAUACAGGCACUCCAUGCAGUCUCACAAUCUCAGUUAAAUACAACUCUGCCCACUUACUAGCAGUAUAAGUGGAUUUCCCUGGUACAAAAUGUGCCGAUUUCGUAAGUCUGUCUAUGACAACCAAAAUCACUGUGAAACCCUUCAGGGUCUUAGGCAGCCCUGAAAUAAAAUCCAUCGACACAUUCUCCCACUUCCACUCUGGCACACUUAAGGGUUGUAACAAACCUGCUGGUUUCUGUCUAGGUGCCUUAACUUGCUGACAUACUAGACACUAACUAACAAAUUCCGCCACUUCCUUUUCAUAUUCCGCCACCAAUAAAAUCGUUUUAGAUCCUGAUACAUUUUCGUGCUACCAGGAUGCAUUGGAAAUGGGGAAUUAUGGGCUUCAUCUAGUAAGUCAAUCUUAACUGUACUGUUCGCUGGCACACACAAACGUCUUUCAAACAUCAACCCACCAUCAGAGGAUAUGGAGAACUCAUCAGUCUGCCCUGUUUCAACAAGGCGACAUCUCUCCAUCAAAUAAGGAUGACUACUCUGAGCAUCAACAAUCUUCUGCCUUAGAGUCGGUUGCACCGUUAAUUGAGCCAACUGUGAGGUGACUCUCCCCACAGACACUGCAAUCUCAGCUCUCUCCAAGUCUCGAUGCAAUGGUACCUGUCUAGUAAUGAGUGCUGCCGAAUGUGAUACUUUUCUACUAAGAGCAUCAGCCACCACAUUCGCCUUACCAGGAUGGUACAAUAUCUCACAGUCAUAAUCUUUUACCAACUCGAGCCACCUUCGUUGUCUCAUAUUCAACUCCUUCUAAGUGAAGAAGUACUUUAGGCUCUUAUGGUCAGUAAAGAUUUGUAUCUUUUCACCGUACAAGUAAUGUCUCCAUAUCUUCAAUGCAAAAACCACUGCUGCCAACUCCAAAUCAUGUAUGGGGUAGUUCUGCUCGUGACUCUUCAACUGACGAGAGGCAUAAGCAACCACCUUACCUUUCUGCAUCAUAACACAACCCAGUCCUUUCUUGGAAGCAUCACUGUAAAUCACAAAACUUCCAGAUCCAUCUGGUACAGUAAGGACCGGUGCAGUAACUAACCUUUGCUUUAAGUUCUGAAAACUGUCCUCGCAAGCUGGACUCCAAACAAACGGAGUUCCCUUCCUUGUCAACUGAGUCAAAGGAGUAGCCAAACAUGAAAAAUCCUCCACAAACCUCCGGUAGUACCCUGCUAAACCCAGAAAACUACGAACCUCACCAACUGUAGAGGGUCGAGACCAACUGGUAACCGCUUCUAUCUUUGCAGGGUCUACUGAAACUCCCUCACUGGAAACCACAUGACCAAGAAAAGUGUCUAAGAAAUCCUUAAACACCCUGUUCAUCAAAUCCAUAAAUACAGCAGGUGCAUUAGUCAAACCAAAAGACAUUACUAUGAAUUCAUAAUGUCCAUACCUCGAACGAAAAGCAGUCUUAGGAAUAUCACGGUCUCUAAUCCUCAACUGGUGAUAACCUGACCAUAAUUCAAUCUUAGAGAACACUGUGGCUCCCUGUAACUGAUCGAACAAAUCAUCGAUUCUGGGUAAAGGAUAUCUGUUCUUGACUGUUACUUUAUUCAACUCUCUAUAGUCAAUGCAAAGACGCAUCGACCCAUCCUUCUUCUUCACAAACAAUACUGGUGCACACCAAGAUGACACACUAGGUCGAAUAAAGCCUUUGUCAAGCAAUUCCUGUAACUGUACCUUCAAUUCUUUCAACUCAGCAGGAGCCAUCCUAUAAGGGGCUCUAGAAAUAGGAGUAGUGUUUGGCUCCAACUCAAUGGCAAAAUCAACCUCUCUAUGUGGCGGUAGUCCUGGAAGAUCUUUUGGAAACACAUCUGGGUAUUCUCUUACCACAGGUUCUGAAGUUAAAGAAGUCUCACCUUCCCUAGUAUCCACCACACUUGCCAAAAUACUCCAAGUACCCUGGUUGAGUAGUUUACUAGCUUUCAUAGCUGAGAUUACUUUAGGCAGUACUACUGUUCCUACCCCCUUGAAUUUAAAGCUAGAUGCAGUAGGGGGACUGAACACAACUUCCUUACGAGAACAAUCAAUACUAGCAUGAUUAGUAGCUAGCCAAUCCAUACCUAAAAUUACAUCAAAGUCACACAUAUCUAAUACCAACAAGGUUACGUCCAGCACACGACCAGCUAUCUCAAUUUCACAUGCUUUAAUCUUUUCCUUAGACAACAUAAUUUCUCCAGACGGUGUAGACACUGACAAAACAUAGUCUAAGGGUUCCAUCUAAGCAUGCAUGCAUCACAAAAAGCGAUGAAAUAAAUGAAUGAGAAGAUCCCGAGUCAAACAAGGUCAAGGCAAAAUGCCCUAACACUGGUAAUGUACCUGUCACUAUUGUGCCGACCUUCUCUGCCUCUGAUCUAUUAGUGGCAAAGAUUGUACCACGCUGUGGAGGUCUCUCUCCCUGACUGCUCGAUCCAGCCCAGUAGAUCUCAAGGGACACCUAUCAGCCAUGUGUCCCUCUUGCUUGCACUUAUAACAGACUCUCGUUCCAUCAAACAACGACCCAGGUGGCGUUUCCCACAUGUAUUACAUACUGGCCUCUCUCGAGUAGUGUCUCCUGCACCGCCAGAACUCUGCUGGAAACUGCGAAAAGGAUCGCCUGGUCUCAAGUUCCUCUGAGGAACUCCUACAGUUCUCUACUCUACUUUUCUCUUUUGACCCGACGACGAUCCCUUAUCAAAGCUCCUUGGCUGUAUUUCAUCAUUCCCAAUGCUCAUAUCCACUGUCAGACGCAGUGCUUCAGCUUGGGUAGUGGGCUUUAGUGCUCGCACAAAGCCCCUAAUUUCAUCUCUCAAUCCCUUGACGAACCUAUCAGCUCUAGCCUGCUCAUUACUAACAAGCUCAGGGGCAAAACGUGACAGCAUAUCAAACUCCUGGUCGUACUCCUCGACUGUCAUAUAUCCUUGCUUCAACUCCAAGAAUUCCUGGCUUUUGGCGUCUCUAAGGUUAGCCGAGAAAAACUUGGUAUAGAACAGUCCUUAAACUGAUCCCAGGUAAUUUGCCUCAAUCUCCACCUAGCAUGCGCAUUGUAGUCCCCACCAGAUAAUGCCUCUGUCCCUCAGUAGAAAACAGCACACUGAACUCUGUGCUCCUCGGGACAUCUCAUGUAAUUAAAUAUGGUUUCCACAGAGGACAACCACAUUUCAGCUUUAGUAGGAUCCUCCAGUGACCCAUCAAACGUCUGAGGGUCAUACUUCUGAAAGUCCCUCAAAUGUUUCGCCUCAGCAGAAAGUUGGUUCGGUAAUCCUUGUGCACGAGGGGCUGCAGUGCAGGGGGAACUACAGGUGCAGUGGAACCGCAGGUUCCUGCUGGUUUUGAGCUAUAGCUGUCAUAAGUUUUGUAAACCUCUGCUCCAUGUGAGCAGACAGUGCAUCAAACUCAACGUGAGUCACGGGUGCAGCAGGAAUUCGCUGUUCAGCUUGACCCUCAGUAGGCUGAUUACGACCUGCGCCUCUACCUCGACCUCCUACUCCUCUACCUCGCCUCUACGACCUCCUCUACGUACACCCUCCUUGGCGGCAUAAUUCCUAUUAUCCACCAACAACACUCUUUAACAAAAUCUUAAUCAUAAGCAUAAGCAAGUCUUUAUCGUCAUGCAAUCUAGUUUAAUUUAGGCAAGGUCAUGCAAAUAAACCAUACAUAUAAGCAUCAAGCAUACCUGACGAGAGACGAAGGGUCGCGUUAGCCAUAGGAACACAAAAACAUAGACUUACAUCGUAAGUCAGUCUACAGAACCUAAAACUUAGGCUCUGAUACCAACUGUAACGACCAACUUUCUAUGUAAGUCGAGGUCGUUAUUAUUUUUUUUACACCUCACAAGAACCCAUAAGUGGAAGCAAAAACACGUUUCCUAUAGCAUCACGCUUCCUUCCUGCCCCUCGCCUGUUUGGCGCCUUUAUUACCUUUGCCUGAAAAUUAAACAUAAGAAGGGUUAGUAUUUAAAUACUCAGUAAGAGACCCUCUACUGGUCUCGUCAGGGGAAAAUAAAUUGUUAAAGUUCUAUUGGGACACCCUGUACAGUCGCAGUCUUGUGAUCCCGUAGGAUACACAUCUCAGUCUAACGCCUCGAGGGACGUACAUAUCAGUCUAACGCCCCGAGGGACGUACAUAUCAGUCUAGUGUUCUGCAGAAACACAUAUCAGUCAAAUGCUCCCGAAGGUGCACAAUAAAUUGGUGAUCCCGUGGGACACCUACAAGGUAAACAUCCCAAUACAAUCUAAAAAUUUUCCCCUCAUUCCAUUCAACCCAUCUUUCAGUUACUUCAAGUCACAAAGUUCUUUCUUUCAACAUCCUAACAGUCAACUUAUUUUACUACAGUCAUAUGUCUGUCAAUAAUAUGCUAAUACAUCAGUCAAUCCACUAUACAGUCAAUGCACCCCUCAGUUCACCAGCACACAGUCAUACUUUAGCGUAAUCAUACACCCAAUCUAAACGAGAAUCUCAUACAAACACAAUCUACAAUCUCCGUCCUGUCCAUAUACACACAUUUAUAUAUAGAUUCCAUGACAAUCACGACAUACAUUCGACGUCAAGUCUACUUCAAUUCAUAUACAUUCAUAUAUAUUUUCAGUCAACCCACAGUAUACAUUCAACACACAUACAGUUCACAAUCACAGUUCACAAUCACAAUUGAGUCCAGUAGAAAAUCCCUUACCUCGAUUUUAUGUAAAAUUUCUUGGUCGAACUAAUUCCAACAAACAAACCCCAAAGAGUAAAGAAUCGAAUUCCAACAAAGCUUAAGGCGUAACUCAAGGACAGUAACUCCAAAUCACCGAUGUCGCCUUCAAGAACAAACAUCAAUUCAACCAAUUAAACAAACAUCACAUCUUAAUGUAUUUACAAAUGUAAAACCUUAUUACCCAACAAUCUCAUCCUUACCAAUAACUUAUAACAAGACUUUGACAAUCAACGUUAAAAUAGAAGUUGCCGCAGCAGGAUCUACACAAAAGAAAUCGUGCAAACAAAUCUGCACGCGAAUCGGUCCACAAUUCGUAAAUGGACAGCGAGUAUCGACGAAGACAGAAUGGUUCGGACGUUCAACAGCAGUUACGCGCGGACGGGAGUAGCCCGGCAACGUAGCCGAACUCGUACGAUGCGGCGUGACCUGCGUCGGCGAGGCUGUUCGUGACUGAGGCGUGCGAUUUGCCUCGCGAACGGAGAUAGAGACGACGGCUGGGUUGGCUUCGACGGAGACAGGUGUUGCGCGGCAAAACUGGGCAGAGGCGGAAGAGCAACGGCAGUAACAGGUGGAUGGUCGUGGCAGUUUCGAUCCGAAGGAGAAAGAAAACGACCGGAAAGAAAAUAAGGGCGGCGGUUCCCGGGCUGCGACGCAGAUCUGGAUCAGACAGUUACGCGGCGGCUGCUGCAAGGCUGCUUCGCGAACGGAGAUGGAGAACGGAGUGGAGAAGAUGGAUAGGGGUCGCGGUCGCACGGGGAAGAAGAAGGGAGAAAAGAAAAGAAAAAGAAAAGAAGAAAAGAAGAGAAAAAAAUAAAGAAAUUUUUUAAUAUUAAAAUAAAAAUAAUAUAUAUAUAUAUAUAUAUAUAUAUAUAUAUAUAUUUACCUUUUCUUUGGGCAUUACAUAAUAUUACUUUAAUAGAAUUUAAUCCAUAUUUUCAUAGAAUAUUUAAUAAAUGAAAAUCUUAAACGUGGUUCACUUUUCUUUUUAUUUUUAAUAAUAUUAUUAAUAAUAAAAAGAGUAAAUUGGUUUAGAGGAUAUGCUACGAGCUUGUGUUAUAGAGAAUAUCAUACAUACAUAUUAACAUAUAUAUAUAUAUAUAUAUUUAGUUUUUAAAAUAAAGCAAUUCAGUUCGGUUUGAGAAUCGGUUCUUAACAUCUUAAACUGAACCGAACCGAAUUUUUAUGUGGUUUUUUUUAAAUAGAAAUCGAAUCGAACCGAACCAUAUGCAUUCGAUUUCGGUUCGAUUAGUGAUUCGAUUCAGUUUUCAACUUCAUUUUGAACACCCCUAUUACAGAUACUAGAGAAUAACAAAUAUUUUAAUGACAUAUAUUACAUAUACUCAUCAUAAUUAUUUCUCAUUCAUGUUCUUGUAAACAUAAACAACUUUCAUAUAUAAUUAAUAUUAUUUCAAACAUAAUGUAUUAUUUACUACGUAAGAUAUGAAUACUUAAAUAAAAUAAAUAAAUAAAUUGAUAUAAGAACAUUUCACUAAUAAAAUAUACAUUAUAUUAUUCAAUAUAUACUAUAAUUAUAUAAAAAUAUAUGAAAAAGAAUGCAAAAUAAAAAAUGACAAUUUUUUAAUAAAAUCAUAAAAAGCAAACUAAGGACAAUUUUUAUUAUUAAUAUUACUUUAAUAGAAUUAAUCCAUAUUUUCAUAGAAUAUUUAAUAAAUGAAAAUCUUAAACGUGGUUCACUUUUCUUUUUAUUUUUAAUAUAUUAUUAAUAAUAAAAAGAGUAAAUUGGUCAUUUUUACUCUAUAUUUGUAUAAAAUAUUAGUCAAUUUAUGAUAUUUUUGAAAAUUUUAAAAAAUUUAUUGCAAUUAAUUUUGUAACAUGGUAUACAAUUUUGAGUACACUUAGAUAAAAAUUCAAAAGAAAAAAAAUUUCACAUUAUAUAAGAUCAAGUCUAAACGGUAUAAAUUGAACCGCUGUUAAAACCGAAUAAACAAACCACACCAUUUAUGUACAAAACAAAAAACACAGUUUGUUGCUGGCUCAAAUAGUCCAAACCGAAUUUAAAUGGUUCGGCGUCUAUUUCAGCUUCAGUCUUCUGGAUUCAAGGAAAUUUUGAUCUUCCAAGUCUUCAAUAUUUCAGGAGAUGAUGAUCUCGAAGUUGAUAAAGAACUUGCACGUCUUGAGAGCUCUAUAGAAGUUUGAAUCUUCAAUUCUUCAAAGCUUCUGUACUUCAGAGCUUCAUUUCUUCCUUCAACAAAAGAUCUCUCGAAUGAAUGACAAAGGUCUCUAUUUAUAGAGAAAAUUUUGUGGACUUUAUGUGGGCUUGGACCCAUUUGCUUGUUGAGUUGUUGAGCUUGGACUUGGGCUUGGGCCCAUUUUCUUAGUGGGCUUAGGCCCCUUUAUUUGGCCUGAUUUUUUUAUCAGGGGCUUGAAUUGGGUUGGAAAACUUGACUACCCAAAUCCAAUCAAAUUAUAAUCAUCACAACUUGGGUGUGACGACGUGGUGUAAUUUCAUUGGUUGAAAUUUCUUGCUCAACAAUUACAUUUAUACUACUCCAUAAUACAUAUAUAUGUUGUUAGUCAUAUAAAAACAUUUACUGUAACGACCCAACUUUUCUAAGUAAGUCGAGGUCGUUAUUUUUUUUUUUUCAAAUAAAGACUUUGUUUAAUAUAAAACAAAACGUAAGCAAUUUAAAAAAAACAUCUUCAAGUCAGGCCUGAUUUUUAAAACAUUCAUAAAAUAAUACUAUUUACAACAAACGUUUGUAAACUAAAUUUCAAUCCAUUUUAAACCUCUCAAGAACCCAUAAGCAGAAGCAAAAACACGUUUCCUAUGGCAUCACGUUUCCUUCCUGCCCCUCGCCUGUUUGCCGCCUUUAUUACCUUUGCCUGAAAAUUAAACAUAAGAAGGGUGAGUAUUUUAAAUACUCAGUAAGAGACCCUCUACUCGUCUCGUCAGGGGAAAAUAAAUUGUUAAGUUCUAUUGGGUCAUCCUGUACAGUCGCAGUCUUGUGAUCCCGUAGGAUACACAUCUCAGUCUAACGCCCCAAGGACGUACAUAUCAGUCUAACGCCCCGAGGGACGUACAUCUCAGUCUAACGCCCGAGGGACGUACAUAUCAGUCUAACGCCCGAGGGACGUACAUAUCAGUCUAGUGUUCUGCAGAAACACAUAUCAGUCAAAUGCUCCGAAGGUGCACAAUAAAUUGGUGAUCCCGUGGGACACCUACAAGGUAAACAUCCCAAUACAAUCUAACAAUUUAUCCCUUCAUUCCAUUCAACCCAUCUUUCAAUUACUUCAAGUCACAAAGUUCUUUCUUUCAACAUCCUAACAGUCAACUUAUUUUACUACAGUCAUAUGUCUGUCAAUAAUAUGCUAAUACAUCAGUCAAUCCACUAUACAGUCAAUGCACCCCUCAGUUUCCAGCACACAGUCAUACUUUAGCGUAAUCAUACACCCAAUCUAAACGAGAAUCACAAGUUCAUAUCUACAUCUCAUACCAACACAAUCUAAAAUCUUCGUCCUGUCCACAUACACACACUUAUAUAUAUGUUCCAUGACAAUCACGAUAUACAUUCGACGUUAAGUCUACUUCAAUUCAUAUGCAUUCAUAUAUAUUUUCAGUCAAACCACAGUAUACAUUCAACACACAUACAGUUCACAAUCACAAUUGAGUCCAGUAGAAAAUCCCUUACCUGGAUCUUUAUGUAAAAUUCCUUAGUCGAACUAACUUCAACAAACAAACCCCAAGAGUAAAGAAUCGAACUCCAACAAAGCUUAAGGCGUAACUCAAGGACACUAACUCCAAAUCACCGAUGUCGCCUUCAAGAACAAAGAUCAAUUCAACCAAUUAAACAACAUCACAUCUUAAUGUAUUUACAAAUGUAAGACCUUAUUACCGAACAAUCUCAUCCUUACCAAUAUCUUGUAACAAGACUUUGACAAUCGACGUUAAAUAGAAGUUGCCGCAGGAUCUACACAAAAGACAUCGUGCAAAACACUUUUGCACGCGAACUGGUCCGCGACGGUGGGUAUCGACGAAGGCAGAACGGUUCGGACGUUCAACAGCAGUUACGCGCGGAUGGGAGUAGCCCGGCAACGUAGCCGAAUUCGUGCGAUACGGCGUGACCUGCGUCGGCGAGGCUGUUCGUGACUGAGGCGUGCGACUUGCCUCGCGGACGGAGAUAGAGACGGCGGGAGACGGUUGCAGAACCGUGGCUUCGACAGAGACAGAACCGGCUGAGACGGUUGGGCAGCGGCGGAAGAGCAACGGCGCCGCAGAUCUGGACUGGCAGCGGCGUGGUCUUGCUUCGCGGCAGGGCUGCGGACGGAAGAAGAAAAUGGAAGGAAAGGAUCGGCGGCUGGCUGCAGUUGGCUGCGGCGCGGACGGGAAGAAGAAGAUAGAGGUGGUGAUUGCGGCUGGGCUGCGGCUGGGCACGAACGGAAGGAGAAGAGGACGGUUAGGGCGGUUGCUGCACGAACGGAGAGAAGGGGAAGGAGGUCGCGGCGCACGGGAGGAAGAAGAAAAGGGAAAAAAAGAAAUUUUCAUUUUCUUUUUCUUUUUAUUUAAAAAAUAUAUAAAAUAAUUAUAAUAAAAAAUAUAUAAAUAUAUAUAUAUAUAUAUAUAUAUAUAUUAUAUAUUAAAUUUUCAUUUUCUUUUCUUUUAUUUAAUAAAAUGUAGAAUAAAUAUAAUAAUAAAAAUAUAAUUAAAUACAUAUAUAUUUAAUUAUAUUAAUACAUUUUCAAAUCUUCUUUCUCCCCUUCAACAUAUUUAAAAAAAAAAUCUUGAACAAAUCGAAAUAAUUCUCUCAAAAUAAUUUACCUUCAAGUUUGGGGCGUUACAUUCUUCCCUCCUUAAGAAACUUUCGUCCUCGAAAGUUCUAAUCCUGAAAUAACUCUGGAUAACGAGUCCUCAUCUCUUCCUCUCGCUCCCAUGUCGCCUCUUUAAUUCGAUGAUUCCGCCACAAAACCUUUACUAAUGGAAUGCUUCUAUUACAAAGCAUCUUUACCUCUCUAGCCAGAAUCUCCACAGGUUGUUCUACAUAGCUCAAAUGAUCAUCAAUCUCCAAGGGUUCAUAGUCCACUACAUGAGAUGUAUCGGCCACAUACUUCCUCAACAUCGAAACAUGGAAAACAUUAUGAACUGCAGAGAGUGAUGGUGGUAAUGCCAAGCGAUACGCCACAACACCAACCCUCUCUAAGAUCUCAAAUGGUCCAACAAAACGAGGACUUAACUUCCCUUUCUUCUCAAAAAUCAUAACACCCUUCAUAGGUGCUACCUUCAAGAAUACCUUUUCUCCCACAUCGAACUUAAGGUCUUUUCGCCGUACAUCUGCAUAACUCUUCUGUCUACUCUGCGCUGUUUGCAUACGUGCUCUAAUCUUUUGAAUAGCCUCAUUAGUAGACCGAACUAAUUCAGGUCCCAUCAACCUAUGUUCACCAACCUCACUCCAACAAACAGGGGUUCUACAACAUUUGCCAUACAAAGCCUCAAAUGGUGCCAUACCGAUGGUAGCCUUGAAACUGUUGUUAUAAGCAAACUCCAUCAAAUGUAGAUGAGAGUCCCAACUACCUGGAAACUCUAUAACACAAGCUCGUAGCAUAUCCUCUAAAACUUGGUUCAAACGUUCAGUUUGACCAUCAGUCUGUGGAUGAAAGGCUGUACUAAAAUCCAAUCUCGUACCCAUAGCAGUCUGAAGUCCCUUCCAAAACUUGGAAGUAAACCGUGCACCCUAUCAGAAACAAUCGAUACAGGCACUCCAUGCAGUCUCACAAUCUCAGUUAAAUACAACUCUGCCCACUUACUAGCAGUAUAAGUGGAUUUUCCUGGUACAAAAUGUGUCGAUUUCGUAAGCCUGUCUAUGACAACCAAAAUCACUGUGAAACCCUUCAGGGUCUUAGGCAGCCCUGAAAUAAAAUCCAUCAACACAUUCUCUCCCACUUCCACUCUUGCACACUUAAGGGUUGUAACAAACCUGCUGGUUUCUGUCUAGGUGCCUUAACUUGCUGACAUACUAGACACUUACUAACAAAUUCCGCCACUUCCCUUUUCAUAUUCCGCCACCAAUAAAAUCGUUUUAGAUCCUGAUACAUUUUUGUGCUACUUGGAUGCAUGAGAAAUGGGAAACUAUGAGUCUCAACCAAUAACCUUGUCUUAAUUGCAUUUUCUGUUGGCUCACAUAAUUCUCUCUCAAACAUAAGUUCAUCAUCAAAGGAUAUGGAAAACUCCUUAACUUGCCCUACUUCUACUAGGCAAUGCUUCUCAAUCAAAUAAGGAUCAAUGAAUUGAACCACAAGAAUUCUUUGUCUCAAGAUCGGAUGUACUGACAACUGAGCUAACUUUGAGGUGACUUCCCCCACUAAAACUACAAUCUCAGCUCUCUCGUGGUUUUUGUCUAAUGAAACCUGUCUGGUAAUAAGUGCUGUCAAAAUGUGAUACUUUUCUACGAAGAGCACCAACUUCCACAUUCGCCUUACCUAGAUGGUACAAAAUCUCACAAUCAUAGUCAUUUACUAACUGAAACCAUCUUUGCUAUCUCAUACUCAACUUCUUUUGAGUGAAAAAGUAUUUUAUACUCUUUUGGUUAGAAAAUAUCUAUAUCUUUUCAUCAUACAUAUAGUGUCUUCAAAUCAUUAAUGUAAAAACCACAACUGUCAAUUCCAUAUCAUAAGUUGGACAAUUUUCCUCAUGACUCUUCAACUGACGAGGAGUACAAGCAACUACUUUAACUUGUUGAAUCAUAAUACCUUUUAAACUUUCCUAAAAGCAUCACUAUAAAUUACGAAACUUUCUGAACCAUCAUGUACGGUAAGCACGAGAGUUGUACAAGCUUCUGCUUAAGAUCCUAAACACUAUCCUCAUAGGCUUUGUCCCAAACAAACAGAGUCCCUUUUCUUAGUUAACUGAGUCAAAGGAGUAGCUAUACGAGAAAAUUCUUAUACAAACCGUUAGUAAUAACCUGCUGAACCCAAAAAGACUACGAACCUCACUGACUAUGAAAGGUUGAGGCCAACUGGUAACGACUUCAAUCUUUUAUGAGAUCCACAUAAAUGUCAUCUCUAGAUACCACAUGGCUUGGAAAGAUACUUGGCCUCAUCCGAAACUCACAUUUUGAAAACUUUGCAUACAAUUUGUUGACUCGAAGAGCCUCUAAAACCAUGUUAAAUGCUCCUCAUGCGCGCUGUCUCUAUUUUGGAAUAAAUUAAGAUAUCGUCAAUAGAUACAAUCACGAAAGUGUCUAAGAGAUCGUUAAACACUUUGUUCAUCAAGUCGUAAACAUUGUUUGAGCAUUUGCCAACUCAAAAGACAUCAUAAUGAACUCAUGAUGUCCAUAUCACGAACGAAAAUCUGCCAUAGGAAUGUCACUGUUCUCUAAUCCUCAACAAGCCAUAACCUGAAUGUAAUUCAAUCUUAAAGAACACGGACUUAUUGCAGUUGAUCAAACAAAUCCUCAUUCAUUGGUAAAAAAUAUUUAUUCUUAACUGACACCUUAUUCAACUUUCUACAAUCAAAACAUAAGUGCAUCGACCAUCUUUCUUCUUAAUAAACAAAAAUUGGUGCACCCCAAGAUAACAUACUUCGUCGAAUGUAGUCCUUGUCAAACAUUUCUUUCAAUUGCACCUUCAAAUCUUUCAACUCUGUUGGGGCCAUUUUGUAUGAAGCUUUAGAUAUAGGAACGAGUCUAACUCUAUCUCAAUAGCAAGACCAAUUUCUGUUUAGCGCGGUAAUCUUAGAAACUCUUCUAGAAAAAUAUCAUAAUACUUUUUCACCACUGAUUCAAAUAACAAAGAAACAUCGACUUCUCUGGUGUCUACCACACUAGUCAAAUACAACAGGUACCCUGGUCAAGCAACUUACUAACCUUCAUAGCUGGGAUAACUUUUAGCGAAACGAUAAUUCCAACCUCUUUGUACUUGAAACUAGCCCAUGGUUAAACUACAUUCCAAUUUUCAAACUCCAAACUAGUAACUUUUCAUUCACGAGAAACUCAAAAUUCUUUCUUAAAGUCACAUCAAGACAACCAUGCUCAUCUUCCUUGUUUCUUUUCCAAUACCUCCAUUCUAAAACUAUUUAAUGUGUUUCGUAUAAACUUGACCGUGUAUUUAGUCCUCGUUAAAACCACCUACAUAACUUAUUUUUCUUAGAUUUCCAAUCACAAAACAGACAAUUUCGCUAACAACGUCUUACUUUUCUACUACUCGACAACUCCUUUGAACACCUCUACAUGGCAACAUUUUUCCUAAAUUUCACCAUUAAAUCCUUCACCAUUAAAUCAUAACAUUCAUGUAAUUCUAGUUUAACUUAGGCAAGGUCAUAUACAUAAACCAUACAUAUAAGCAUAAAGCAUACCUGACGAGAGACGAAGGGUCGCGUUAGCCAUAGGGACACAAAAACAUAGACUUACAUCGUAAGUCAGUCUACAGAACCUAAAACUUAGGCUCUGAUACCAACUGUAACGACCCAACUUUUCUAAGUAAGUCUUAUUUUUUUUUUUCAAAUAAAAGCUUUGUUUAAUAUAAAACAAAACGUAAGCAAUUUAAAAAAAACAUCUUCAAGUCAGGCCUGAUUUUUAAACAUUCAAGAAAACAUAAAAUAAUACUAUUUACAACAAACGUUUGUAAACUAAAUUUCAAUCCAUUUUAAACCUCACAAGAACCCAUAAGCGGAAGCAAAAACACGUUUCCUAUGGCAUCACGUUUCCUUCCUGCCCCUCGCCUGUUUGCCGCCUUUAUUACCUUUGCCUGAAAAUUAAACAUAAGAAGGGUGAGUAUUUUAAAUACUCAGUAAGAGACCCUCUACUGGUCUCGUCAGGGGAAAAUAAAUUGUUAAAGUUCUAUUGGGACACCCUGUACAGUCGAAGUCUUGUGAUCCCUUAGGAUACACAUCUCAGUCUAACGCCCCGAGGGACGUACAUAUCAGUCUAACGCCCCGAGGGACGUACAUAUCAGUCUAACGCCCCGAGGGACGUACAUAUCAGUCUAGUGUUCUGCAGAAACACAUAUCAGUCAAAUGCUCCCGAAGGUGCACAAUAAAUUGGUGAUCCCGUGGGACACCUACAAGGUAAACAUCCCAAUACAAUCUAACAAUUUAUCCCCUCAUUCCAUUCAACCCAUCCUUCAGUUACU
This 40966-nucleotide long non-coding RNA is filed under the name Cucumis sativus (cucumber). RNAcentral's name for it is "long non-coding RNA (CSAT_LNC002572)". The record is from RNAcentral. Lineage: Eukaryota; Viridiplantae; Streptophyta; Magnoliopsida; Cucurbitales; Cucurbitaceae.